UUCAAAUCUACCGCACGACCGAACCACCCCUAACGGAACUAAUUUUGGCUCACUAUAAGUUCUCCUAUUUUGAUCCGAUAAACUUAAUUUUCACACAUGUAAUGAUUACCAGUUUUUGAAUUCGUAGACAUAUGGUGGUAUAAUUAAACAGAAAUUUUAAAUGUAAGAUUAUUGUAGUGUUACUUUUAAAAAGUAUAGUAAUUCAGAAAUUCAUCUAAUCUUCGCUAUAAAUCCAUCUUCUCUUCUCUCAAAUACGAUGAAACUGUAUCUGUAAGUCGACACACUAAUAAUUUAACUAGUGUCUGCACGCUUAGAUCAGUUUACCCAUAAGUAGGUAAUUUAUUUACGCAAAUUUGAGUUUUGUAUGCAUUACGCAUAUUAUAGGUAAAAUAUACCAACAAAAAUCGGUAAACUUUACUCAUAUUACAAGUAAAGUAACGUUACCCAAAUAUGGGUAAUGCAUUUUACCCAUAUUUGGAUGAAAAAAUAAAACUUCAACAUUCCUCGGUGAUCAAAAUGGCGAGCAGAUGAAAACAAGAUUAAGUCAUAGUUGGAAAUAAAAAAAAUGUUUUAAAGCAAAAACAGUUGAUCUAAAAGGUCGAUCCAGAAAAUUUCAACUAAAGCUGCGUAAUGCAUAAAUAAAAAACGAGGCGAACCGCCUGCAGGCCCGGAUAACUACAAAGGGCAUGGAAUGGAAGCAAAUGUUACGCUAAAGGUAUUCGAGUUCCGACUGAAACUCAUUCUGCCAAGGAAAGUUCCGGAUGUGACGGAUCAAGGGUCGGAGCUCUAUAUAACAUUAGCAUUAUCAAGGUAACUCGUCGAAUGAGCGGAAAUCUGUUCCGACGGCUUCAUCACUAUCUGCUCCGCGGAAACGCAGUGAGGAUACUUGGAUCUUCAAUGAUAUGCCUACCUAUCCUUGUUCCGAAUCGGGGAGUUAUCAACAAGCAGGACUCCAGCUAGGAAGAAUAGGAUAAUCUUGGAAUGAAAGGGUAUUUUGUCUAAUGAAACAUUAGUGAAGUUAAAUUGUACAUUUUUUACACUAAUUGUCUGUAUGAUUAAUAAAUUAUUGUUUCAUUGAGUUUUAUUAUGAUUGUAUUUAUUUUAAUGAGUAUUUUUGAAUUUUCUUUUCUCUAUAGCCGACCAAAAGCAGCGUAAAAUUACUCAUUUUUGAGUAAUUUCAAUUACUCAUAAUUCCACAAAAACCCUUUACUCAAAUAUGGGUAAAGCCCCAUUACUCAUAAAAUAAGGUUGUGCACUUUUUGGCGAUUAUGGGUAAACUUUACUCAUAUUUGGGUAAACUGACGUGUGAGGAAAAUUUGGGCAUCAAUAGGAAGCAAUCAGUGAAGUACUAGAUUGAAAGUAUGGAAAGUAUUUUUGUAUGGUAAGAUGAUCAGUUCUCCAUUUCUGCAAUGAAAUGGUGCAAACA
Molecule: long non-coding RNA, 1426 nt
Organism: Aedes albopictus (Asian tiger mosquito)
Lineage: Eukaryota; Metazoa; Arthropoda; Insecta; Diptera; Culicidae
Exons: 3
Source: RefSeq, a predicted model, not a curated record